GCCAUAAUACCGGGUGAUGUAGGGACUGUCACACUGGCUGAGCACCGUAAUCUCCUGCUGAAUGUCCUCAAUUUCAUCCUCAGCCUCUUCCAGAUCAAUAAUCUUGAUAGCAACCACCUCCUUGGUGCGGUUGUCAAUCCCUUUAUACACUUCACCGAAUGAUCCUUUGCCAAUCCGCUCCAACUUGGUGAACAGUUCCUCAGGAUCCACCCUGGAGUGCUGGCUGGCGAAGUCCCUCAGGUGAGCCAUGCCUGCGCGAUCCGCGGGGCCGUGCGGGCGGCGCUCCUCGGCCGGCGCUCAGCUACGGCCCUCGCCCCCCCGGCGAAGCGCUCUGCGGCGCCAUGCCGGGACCCGGCGCACGGAGCCGCCGCCCGCCCGCCCUGGGACACCGAGCUCGGCCGCGGCGCCGGGCGCAACGACGCGGCGCCGAG
RNAcentral lists this long non-coding RNA (431 nucleotides) under Gallus gallus (chicken). Lineage: Eukaryota; Metazoa; Chordata; Aves; Galliformes; Phasianidae. The record is from RNAcentral.